GAUGAACGCUGGCGGCGUGCCUAAUACAUGCAAGUCGAGCGAACGGACGAGAAGCUUGCUUCUCUGAUGUUAGCGGCGGACGGGUGAGUAACACGUGGAUAACCUACCUAUAAGACUGGGAUAACUUCGGGAAACCGGAGAUAAUACCGGAUAAUAUUUUGAACCGCAUGGUUCAAAAGAGAAAGACGGUCUUGCUGUCACUUCUAGAUGGUUCUGGGCUGCAUUAGCUAGUUGGUAAGGUAACGGCUUACCAAGGCAACGAUGCAUAGCCGACCUGAGAGGGUGAUCGGCCACACUGGAGCGGGGACACGGUCCAGACUCCUACGGGAGGCAGCAGUAGGGAAUCGUCCGCAAUGGGCGAGAGCCUGACGGAGCGACGCCGCGUGAGUGAUGAAAGUCUUCGGAUCGUAAAACUCUGUUAUUAGUGAAGAACAUAUGUGUAAGUAACUGUGCACAUCUUGACGGUACCUAGUCAGAAAGCCACGGCUAACUACGUG
RNAcentral lists this ribosomal RNA (497 nucleotides) under uncultured bacterium. RNAcentral describes it as "partial 16S ribosomal RNA". It matches the Rfam family "Bacterial small subunit ribosomal RNA", at positions 28 to 507 of the family's 1533-position model. The record is from RNAcentral.